Molecule: long non-coding RNA, 1291 nt
Filed under: Equus caballus (horse)
Lineage: Eukaryota; Metazoa; Chordata; Mammalia; Perissodactyla; Equidae
Description: lncRNA (ENSECAG00000046865.1)
Source: RNAcentral
AGAUUUUUCUCUAUGUUUGAGUAGGUCUACCUAAAAGGUAGAAAUUCUAUGUUGUGUCAAAAUAAUUUCCUAUGUUCAAGAAGAUGAGGUCUCUAUAUUCGGACAACUAAGGGUUUUGUUUAACUGUUUAACUCUCUGUUUGCCUUUAUUAUCUUCUGUUGUCACUUUGGUUAAAUGGAUAGCUAAGCAUUAUUUCACAGUGACCUAUGAUCCUAUUUGACCAAGUGUUUUAUAAACUUUUGAUAGUUUUGAUAAACUUCCCCAAAAUUCAAAUCCUAAAUUAAAUCUUUCUUUUGACCCAAAAUUAACUUUGAGAAUUUCCAGUGGACCCCUGGGAGUUCUCAAAGAAUUUGUUCUCUCUUCUUAUAAAGAGGGAGAUAUUAAACUAGUUAGGCUUAUUUGGUAUGUUAAUUUGCAUGGGAAGCAUUGUCAAAUAUAUGACUAUAAACCCUUUUAGGUUAUACUGCAUGAGUGAGUGUUAUUAAUGUGUUCCAAAAAUUAUAUAAAAUUUCUAAAAAUCUGACAUGUCCUGGUAUAACUCUAGUAAUUAUCUUAAAAUGUGUUACAGAAAUCAUCAAAUUUUGUUCUCAAUUGCAUUGUAAUCAAAUCUUUAUGCCAUUUUAAGUCUUUUGUCAUUUACAACCAAUUAUUGUUUCCUCUGAUGCUUUUGCAAAUGUUUCAUCUUCAGAGAGAUUCAUGGAAAGGACUAUGACAAUCUAGAAAAAACAGAUUUCUGAUAAACUUUUAGAUCAUAAAACUGAAUUGGGCAAGAAAUUAUAGAACUCCAACAGUGAAAUUGAUGGCUUCAGAAAACUGCUAACAAAAGAUCAAGAAAUGAAACCAUUCUGUUUCCUGAAGCCCUGCAAAUGGAACUGAACAACUUGAUAUAAACUUAAGAGAGAUCACCACAAUAGCCCAUGUUUGGACAAUCUUCAUGACUGUUGCUGUGUAAGCCACUCAAAAACAUUCACCUGAACACCUGAUGACAUUGUCAGAGACAUUUCAAACUGCAAAAGAUGCUUCACCUUUGACAUUUAGAAAUCUUAUUGACUGACUAUCCACUGGGCUCAGAAACUAGUUUAUAAUUUGUUCCAACCAUUAACCUUGUUUCUGUUUUUGUUUCCAUAGAAAUGCUUCUUAUUAAAUACCAGAUUGCUUGUUAUUCUGUCUCAUGUCAAUUUAAUUCUUAAACCAGCCAAAAGAAUCUGGAGGGUAGAGGAAUAUAAUUUCCCCCCCUACAGUUUCUUCCCCACAAAAUUAGUGGAAAAAAACUUAGCCAACUAAAUAGGCA